RNAcentral lists this small RNA (3854 nucleotides) under Pan troglodytes (chimpanzee). RNAcentral's name for it is "processed transcript". The record is from RNAcentral. Lineage: Eukaryota; Metazoa; Chordata; Mammalia; Primates; Hominidae.
AGCUCCAGGAGGCUGGGAGUGGAAGCGCAGCGGCAGAAGGAGAGGGAGAGAGAAAGAGAGAGAGGCUAAUUAAAAAAGGAUACUCCUAGGGAAGAGAGCAAGGGCGGUGCGCCGCCAAGGACCAACUAGCGGCGGAGCUUCGAUCUUGCCUAGGCGCGGAGAGCUCCCAACCUGGGCUGGAACCUUGCCCAGCACAGGUGGCUGCUACACCCCAUGUAAAAAGCAGAAAAUAAAAUGAAGAUUUUCCAGCGCAAGAUGCGGUACUGGUUGCUUCCACCUUUUUUGGCAAUUGUUUAUUUCUGCACCAUCGUCCAAGGUCAAGUGGCUCCACCCACAAGGUUAAGAUAUAAUGUAAUAUCUCAUGACAGUAUACAGAUUUCAUGGAAGGCUCCAAGAGGGAAAUUUGGUGGUUACAAACUUCUUGUGACUCCAACUUCAGGUGGAAAAACUAACCAGCUGAAUCUGCAGAACACUGCAACUAAAGCAAUUAUUCAAGGCCUUAUGCCAGACCAGAAUUACACAGUUCAAAUUAUUGCAUACAAUAAAGAUAAAGAAAGCAAGCCAGCUCAAGGCCAAUUCAGAAUUAAAGAUUUAGAAAAAAGAAAGGAUCCGAAGCCCAGAGUCAAAGUUGUGGACAGAGGAAAUGGGAGUAGACCAUCUUCACCAGAAGAAGUGAAAUUUGUCUGUCAAACUCCAGCAAUUGCUGACAUUGUAAUCCUGGUUGAUGGUUCAUGGAGUAUUGGAAGAUUCAACUUCAGACUGGUUCGGCUUUUCUUGGAAAACCUGGUUACAGCAUUUGAUGUGGGCUCAGAGAAGACACGAAUUGGUCUUGCACAGUAUAGUGGCGACCCCAGAAUAGAAUGGCACUUGAAUGCAUUUAGCACAAAAGAUGAAGUGAUUGAAGCUGUCCGAAACCUCCCAUAUAAAGGAGGAAAUACACUAACAGGUCUUGCUUUGAACUACAUUUUUGAAAAUAGCUUCAAACCAGAAGCAGGAUCAAGGACUGGAGUAUCCAAAAUUGGCAUUUUAAUCACAGAUGGAAAAUCCCAAGAUGACAUUAUUCCACCAUCUAGAAAUCUUCGUGAGUCUGGUGUAGAACUGUUUGCCAUAGGGGUGAAAAACGCGGAUGUGAAUGAGCUGCAGGAGAUCGCCUCCGAACCAGACAGCACUCAUGUGUACAAUGUUGCCGAAUUCGAUCUGAUGCACACAGUUGUGGAGAGUCUGACCAGGACUCUCUGCUCUAGAGUGGAAGAACAGGACAGAGAAAUUAAAGCCUCAGCCCAUGCCAUCACUGGGCCGCCUACGGAGUUGAUUACUUCUGAAGUCACUGCCAGAAGCUUUAUGGUUAACUGGACUCAUGCCCCAGGAAAUGUGGAAAAAUACAGAGUUGUGUAUUAUCCUACCAGGGGUGGAAAACCAGACGAGGUGGUGGUAGAUGGAACUGUAUCUUCCACAGUGUUGAAAAACUUGAUGUCUUUAACUGAAUAUCAGAUAGCAGUCUUUGCAAUCUAUGCCCACACUGCUAGUGAAGGCCUACGGGGAACUGAAACUACACUUGCUUUACCCAUGGCUUCUGACCUUCUACUGUACGACGUGACUGAGAACAGCAUGCGAGUCAAAUGGGAUGCAGUGCCUGGGGCCUCAGGUUACCUGAUCCUUUAUGCUCCUCUAACAGAGGGCCUGGCUGGGGAUGAAAAAGAGAUGAAAAUUGGAGAGACCCACACAGAUAUUGAAUUGAGUGGGUUGUUGCCCAAUACAGAAUACACAGUCACAGUUUAUGCCAUGUUUGGAGAAGAGGCCAGUGAUCCUGUUACGGGACAAGAAACAACAUUGGCUUUAAGUCCACCAAGAAACCUGAGAAUCUCCAAUGUUGGCUCUAACAGUGCUCGAUUAACCUGGGACCCAACUUCAAGACAGAUCAAUGGUUAUCGAAUUGUAUAUAACAAUGCAGAUGGGACUGAAAUCAAUGAGGUUGAAGUCGAUCCUAUUACUACCUUCCCUCUGAAGGGCUUGACACCUCUCACAGAGUAUACUAUUGCUAUUUUCUCCAUCUAUGAUGAAGGACAGUCAGAGCCUCUGACUGGAGUUUUUACCACCGAGGAAGUUCCAGCCCAGCAAUACUUAGAAAUUGAUGAGGUGACGACAGACAGUUUUAGGGUGACCUGGCAUCCCCUCUCAGCUGAUGAAGGGCUACACAAAUUGAUGUGGAUUCCAGUCUAUGGGGGGAAGACUGAGGAGGUUGUCCUGAAAGAAGAGCAGGACUCACAUGUUAUUGAAGGCCUGGAGCCCGGUACGGAGUAUGAAGUUUCACUAUUGGCCGUACUUGAUGAUGGAAGCGAGAGUGAGGUGGUGACUGCUGUCGGGACCACACUUGACAGUUUUUGGACAGAACCAGCUACAACCAUAGUGCCUACCACAUCUGUGACUUCAGUUUUCCAGACGGGAAUCAGAAACCUAGUUGUAGGUGAUGAAACUACUUCUAGCCUGCGGGUAAAAUGGGACAUUUCUGACAGCGAUGUGCAACAGUUUAGGGUGACCUACAUGACAGCUCAAGGGGACCCUGAGGAAGAAGUCAUAGGAACGGUUAUGGUGCCUGGAAGCCAGAACAACCUCCUUCUGAAGCCUCUGCUUCCUGAUACUGAAUACAAAGUCACAGUGACUCCCAUCUACACGGAUGGCGAAGGCGUCAGCGUCUCCGCUCCUGGAAAAACCUUGCCAUCCUCGGGGCCCCAGAACUUGCGGGUGUCCGAGGAAUGGUAUAACCGGUUGCGCAUUACGUGGGACCCCCCAUCUUCCCCGGUGAAAGGCUAUAGAAUUGUCUACAAACCUGUCAGUGUUCCUGGUCCAACACUGGAAACGUUUGUGGGAGCUGACAUUAACACCAUCCUUAUCACAAACCUCCUCAGUGGAAUGGACUACAAUGUGAAGAUAUUUGCCUCCCAGGCCUCAGGCUUCAGCGACGCCCUGACAGGCAUGGUGAAAACAUUGUUCUUGGGUGUUACCAAUCUCCAAGCCAAACACAUUGAAAUGACCAGCUUGUGUGCCCACUGGCAGGUACAUCGCCAUGCCACAGCCUAUAGGGUUGUUAUAGAAUCCCUCCAGGAUAGGCAAAAGCAAGAAUCCACUGUGGGUGGAGGGACAACCAGGCAUUGCUUCUAUGGACUUCAGCCUGAUUCUGAAUAUAAAAUCAGUGUUUAUACAAAGCUCCAGGAGAUUGAAGGACCUAGUGUGAGCAUAAUGGAAAAAACACAAUCACUUCCUACACGACCACCAACUUUUCCUCCAACCAUUCCACCAGCAAAAGAAGUAUGUAAGGCGGCCAAGGCUGACCUGGUAUUUAUGGUGGAUGGAUCCUGGAGCAUUGGAGAUGAAAAUUUCAAUAAGAUCAUCAGCUUUCUAUACAGCACUGUUGGAGCCCUGCACAAGAUUGGCACAGAUGGAACCCAACACUAUUCACAGUAACAAACAUGGAAUGCCCAUCAAUGGUGGACUGCGUAAAGAAAAUGUGGUGAACAUACAGCAAGAAAUACUACGCAGCCAUAAAAAAGAACAAAAUCAUGUUCUUUGCAGCGACACGGGUGCCUCUGGAAGCCAUUAUCUUGUGCAAAUUAACACAGAAACAUGAAACCAAAUACUGCAUGCUCUCACUUAGAAGUGGGAGCUAAACAUCUAGUACACAUGGACGUAAAGACGGGAACAAUAGACACUAGGGAAAGAUGGGAACAAUAGACACUAGGGGCUACUAGUAGGGGGAUAAUAGAAGGAGGCUGAAGGUUGAAAAACUGCCUAUUGGGUACUAUGCUCACUACCUGGGGGACAGAAUCAUUUGUACACCACGUCUCAGUGACAUGCCG